This 1254-nucleotide long non-coding RNA is filed under the name Amborella trichopoda. RNAcentral describes it as "long non-coding RNA (ATRI_LNC001514)". Lineage: Eukaryota; Viridiplantae; Streptophyta; Magnoliopsida; Amborellales; Amborellaceae. The record is from RNAcentral.
AUUAUUUCUAGGGAAAUUUAUCAAUUCAUACCUAUAAGUUUGACGAACGGAAUAUUUCACUAUAGGUUGUUUUGAUAUAUUUCAAAACCAUAAUGUUGCGUAGUUUAAUGGACUACUACGAAUUUGAUUAAAAACUGAUAGCUUAAAUGAAACGGAUAAUAUAUUAGAUAGGUCGACUCUUAGAUAUUAUACUGUUAUUUGAAAAUUUUCCCUUCUUUCAAUACAAAAGACAUUAAUCACAAAUGACUGGAACAUACAGAUCAAAAACCAUUUUUAUGCCAAAUAAAAUAAUCCCUAAAUGAAGGGAAAUUACAAGUGGGUCACUUAGAAAUUCUUAUCUCGAUACAAUGAAACUAAUCAUUUCAAUGAAGAAAAUUAAGGAUAGAUCACUAAUCCUUUCUACACAAAAUAAAAUAAUCAGUAAAAUGGGGGGAAACUACAGAUGGAUCAUUAAGAAAUUUAAAAAAUUCUUUCUACUCAACCGACAGUAGUCAAUAAAUAAAGGGAAAUUACAGAUGGGUUCACUUAGAGAUUUAAAAAUUCUUCCUAAAUAAAAGAAAAUAAUCACUAAACAUAGGAAAUUUUAGAUUGGUCACUUAGAAAUUCAAUGUAAAUUCUAAAUAUGUUAUAAUGUUAGACAAGGACUUGGAGGCGCAUUAUUUUGACAAAAAAGAAAACUAGAAUUAAACAGAGGCUACUGAGAAUGGAGAGGUGCCAUUUAGCCUUUCAUUUACAGGUUUGAAGCUUGAACGAAAGAGAACCCAUACCCACUAUUCUCCUUUAUUUAUUUUUAUUCUUUUUAGAAAUCACCAAUUACAUUAAUUCAAACCAUCAUAAUCUGAUUUGAUGGUCGAAUUUCAAGACAUUCAACAUAAAAAUAAUAAAUAAAUAAAAAAGGACAAACUUUUGAAAAGAAAUAAGAACAACAAAAAAAACCCAAAAAUGCCAUCAAUUACCUGCAAUUGUUUCAAGCUUUUCAACCAGGAAUUAUAUCAGUAAAAUCCAUCACGAACCAUGAAAAUUCAAAAAAAAGAAAGAGAGAGAGAGACAGAACGGAAAGAAAGAAAUGCCAUAGUGUUAUCUGCAAUGAAUUCUUCUUACAACAUCCAAACAAACCCUAGAAGUUUUAUCACAGAGAACCAUCCCUAAAAUAUUACAUCUCUAAAACCUUGGAUAUGACGAAGCGAUAAAAUCCAACAAAAAAAAAUCAAUGAAUUCCAAUCAAUUAUCUGGACACAAAGAAGAUAAGGCAUC